RNAcentral lists this ribosomal RNA (166 nucleotides) under uncultured bacterium. RNAcentral's name for it is "partial 16S ribosomal RNA". It matches the Rfam family "Bacterial small subunit ribosomal RNA", at positions 509 to 674 of the family's 1533-position model. The record is from RNAcentral.
CAGCAGCCGCGGUAAACCGUAGGAGGCGAGCGUUAUCCGGAUUUACUGGGCGUAAAGGGCGUCUAGGCGGUGUCCUAAGUUGGGCGUGAAAUCUCCCGGCUCAACCGGGAGGCGCCGUCCAAUACUGGGACACUUGAGGGCAGGAGAGGAAAGUGGAAUUCCCGGU